RNAcentral lists this ribosomal RNA (301 nucleotides) under uncultured bacterium. RNAcentral describes it as "partial 16S ribosomal RNA". It matches the Rfam family "Bacterial small subunit ribosomal RNA", at positions 509 to 807 of the family's 1533-position model. The record is from RNAcentral.
CAGUAGCCGCGGGAAUACGAAGGGGGCUAGCGUUGUUCGGAUUUACUGGGCGUAAAGGGCGCGUAGGCGGACUGAUAAGUCAGGGGUGAAAUCCCAAGGCUCAACUCUGGAACUGCCUUUGAUACUGGGUAUCUUGAGUAUGGAAGAGGUGAGUGGAAUUCCGAGUGUAGAGGUGAAAUUCGUAGAUAUUCGGAGGAACACCAGUGGCGAAGGCGGCUCACUGGUCCAUUACUGACGCUGAGGUGCGAAAGCGUGGGGAGCGAACAGGAUUAGAUACCCCCGUAGUCCCUGUCUCUUAUAC